GCCGGGGUGGCAGAGCGGUAAUGCGCCGGCCUCGAGAGCCGGUGGGCCUCGGCCCUCAGGGGUUCAAAUCCUCUCCCCGGCG
RNAcentral lists this transfer RNA (82 nucleotides) under Candidatus Bathyarchaeota archaeon. RNAcentral describes it as "tRNA-Ser". It matches the Rfam family "tRNA". Rfam says of the family: Transfer RNA (tRNA) molecules are approximately 80 nucleotides in length. Their secondary structure includes four short double-helical elements and three loops (D, anti-codon, and T loops). Lineage: Archaea; Thermoproteati; Candidatus Bathyarchaeota. The record is from RNAcentral.